GAUGAAGAACGUAGCGAAAUGCGAUAAGUAAUGUGAAUUGCAGAAUUCAGUGAAUCAUCGAAUCUUUGAACGCACAUUGCGCCCGCUAGUAUUCUGGCGGGCAUGCCUGUCCGAGCGUCAUUUCAACCCUCAAGCCCCCGGGCUUGGUGUUGGGGAUCGGCUAGCCUCCGCGCCCGCCGUCCCCUAAAUCUAGUGGCGGUCUCGCUGUAGCUUCCUCUGCGUAGUAGCACACCUCGCACUGGGAAACAGCGCGGCCACGCCGUUAAACCCCCAACUUCUGAACGUUUGACCUCGGAUCAGGUAGGAAUACCCGCUGAACUUAAGCAUAUCAAUAAGCGGAGGA
RNAcentral lists this unclassified non-coding RNA (343 nucleotides) under soil metagenome. Its description in RNAcentral is "partial contains 5.8S ribosomal RNA, internal transcribed spacer 2, and large subunit ribosomal RNA". The stretch from base 1 to 120 matches the Rfam family "5.8S ribosomal RNA", at positions 35 to 154 of the family's 154-position model. The record is from RNAcentral.